GAUGAAGAACGCAGCGAAAUGCGAUACGUAAUGUGAAUUGCAGAAUUCAGUGAAUCAUCGAAUCUUUGAACGCAUAUUGCGCUCUCUGGUAUUCCGGAGAGCAUGCUUGUUUGAGUAUCAGUAAACACCUCAACUUCCAUAUCUUUUUUGAAAUGGGAGUUGGACUUGAGCGAUCCCAACGCUUUUCCUCACCGAAAAGUGGCGGGUUACUUGAAAUGCAGGUGCAGCUGGACUUUUCUCUGAGCUAUAAGCAUAUCUAUUUAGUCUGCCUAAAAAACAGAUUAUUACCUUUGCUGCAGCUAACAUAAAGGAGAUUAGUUCUUGUGCUGACUGAUGCAGGAUUCACAAAGACAGGCUUCGGCCGACUUUGUAAACUCGAUCUCAAAUCAAGUAAGACUACCCGCUGAACUUAAGCAUAUCAAUAAGCGAGGA
This 432-nucleotide unclassified non-coding RNA is filed under the name soil metagenome. RNAcentral describes it as "partial contains 5.8S ribosomal RNA, internal transcribed spacer 2, and large subunit ribosomal RNA". The stretch from base 1 to 120 matches the Rfam family "5.8S ribosomal RNA", at positions 35 to 154 of the family's 154-position model. The record is from RNAcentral.